GAAUUCUGCUUGUCUCUGUAGGCAUGCCAGAGUUCUACUAGUUACUUGUUAUUAGAUUAGGAAAACUAACCUUAUGAAUAAGAAGUUAUAUUUCAUCAAUACUUAUACAGAAAUGGAAAUCUAUGUGGGAAAACAUCACAUACUUAGGACUGUAUGAGUGUUAUAUUAUGCUAUUUGAAACUGCAUAACUAUGUAGGAAUAUAAAUGAGGUGAAGGCAUAUUAUACAAUUUUGAAAUU
RNAcentral lists this long non-coding RNA (238 nucleotides) under Bos taurus (domestic cattle). RNAcentral's name for it is "long non-coding RNA NONBTAT000310". Lineage: Eukaryota; Metazoa; Chordata; Mammalia; Artiodactyla; Bovidae. The record is from RNAcentral.